RNAcentral lists this non-coding RNA (55 nucleotides) under unclassified sequences. RNAcentral describes it as "chromate-resist RNA". It matches the Rfam family "chrB-b RNA". The record is from RNAcentral.
CGGGGAUUGCAGCCUCCCCGUCGUCACCAAGACGCUCACGGCGUCCAAGGUCUGC